Long non-coding RNA from Orcinus orca (killer whale), 2401 nucleotides. RefSeq lists it as uncharacterized. NCBI's taxonomy places the organism in Eukaryota, Metazoa, Chordata, Mammalia, Artiodactyla, Delphinidae. The record is from RefSeq and is a predicted model, not a curated record. The transcript is spliced from 2 exons.
GGGAGAGAAAGGGCCAGGUGACCAGGCUGAAAGCAACCAUUCCUGGGUAACCGUCUGGAGAAGACUGCUUUGGAAGAAGCCAGGAACCUGCUGGAAUUUGAACCCACAUUAAUUUUGAUUUUCUAAAAUGCCGCAUUAAGAUAUCUUGCUCACCGAGUCAAUUCUGUGCUGAGUCAACUGUCACCCUCACCUCACCUGUCUAGUCCUGUUCGUCCUGAAUGCCCUCUUGUUGCUGUCCGUGAAUCAGAGAGGUGUGGAUGGACAGAAGGAGAUGAUCGCCCUGGGCCGCCCAGCCCUGGAGUUCCAGCUUGCCCUGCAGGGAAGGUGAAAAGGACGGUCUUGCUCUGGGGCUUGCAUAGACUUGGAGCCUCUUAAACCUUCCUGAGCACCAGCUGCCUCCCAGGGCCCAGGAGGGCCUGGUGUGUGCCCGCUGCCCUGACUGCCCGCUCUGCCCACUAGAUGGCGCGCUGGUUGCACAGGUGAGCACGGGGCCCCCUCCACCCCUGCCCCACCACCCCAGCUUUUGUGAAUUGCUGGCCAGUUUGGAGAACACCUGUCCAGUUGAUCCCCACCGCGGGCCCAAAGCAUAGACGAGACUGAGGCACGGAGAGGCGAGCUGAGGUGACACACCUGAUGCCUUUAACAUAUUAACAUUGGCUGUGGGGUCUGGCAUUGUACCUGCCAUAGCCAAACUCCCCUUCCUCCUGGAUCACUUUUUCUUGGUCUGUUUUAGAGGUACCUGUGCCAACCUGGUGAGAGCCAUUGGACCCCUCCUUGGAAAAAGUUUGAAAAUAAUUUCCUGGGCUUCCAGAACAGCCCAGGAAUAGAUGAAGCACCUCUUUCCUGCACGUUUGCAGUAUAUGCGUUUGAUUUGGGGUUUAGAGUUAACUCCUAACAUUCUGUUUCAGAUACGAAUUUAACCAUGCAAUCCAUCCAUUCCUUGAAGAAAUAUUUAUUGAGCACCUACUAUGUGCAAACCACUAGAGAUACUUGCCUUUGUGGAGCUCAUGUUCUGGGGAGUUGGGGGUGGCAAAUGAUAAAAACAGGCAAAAUUACAGUAGUUAUUAAUGCUCUAAAUAGUCUCAGUUCUCCUUUUCUGGGCGCAUGGUAGGAUUUUACUCCCUGGUCUUGUGAUUGCGAGAAACCAUGUGGCCAGUUCUGCCCAAUGAAUUGAGAAAUGAUGUUACUUCCAGGCCAAAGCAUUUGAUUGCUGAUGAGAGACCCUCUAGAGCCUUCCCUCUGCCCCUGGACGUGGAAACUAGAAACAUUUCAGAUGGAGGCUGUGCAGUCAGCCUAGGUCCCUGAGCCUUGUAGCACAAGUGAGAAAUCAACAUUUGUUUCUUUAAGUCACUGAGAUUUUGAGGGUGUUUGUUAUUGCAACAACAAAAGAAAUCUUAAAUAAUUAUUCAAAAGUAAUUUGGGGGCUUCCCUGGUGGCGCAGUGGUUGAGAGUCUGCCUGCCGAUGCAGGGAACACAGGUUCGUGCCCCGGUCCGGGAAGAUCCCACAUGCCGCGGAGCAGCUGGGCCCGUGAGCCAUGGCCGCUGAGCCUGCGCGUCCGGAGCCUGUGCUCCGCAACGGGAGAGGCCACAACAGUGAGAGGCCCGUGUACCACAAAAAAAAAAAAAAAAAAAGUAAUUUGGCUAACUUCUCUUCAUUUAUUUUAUAUUUAUUAAUAUGUUACUUCUAUGAUGACAAUAAAAAUGAUAUUCUUAGGAAAAAUAAAUAAAAUGUCUACUAGACCCCAAGUGGAGAUGUGUGGGAGACACUGGAUGAUUGAGUCUGGAGUUAGGAGAAUAUAAAUUUGGGAGUCAUUGACAGAAAGAUGGUAUCAAUAGUUUAACGUCUCAAAACACUUUGGCUGGUUAUGAAGAGAAACUUUGAAGUGCAGCGUUAUAGCCAGGGCCGAUUCUAAGGGCUUAGAUGAGGAUUAGGGAAGACGAUGUGGUGAGCUUACUGUCACCUUUGAUGGUGUCAGGGAGGUUAUUCUGUUCUCUUUGCUUUAGGAAUGUCAAGGUCAUGGUCCAUUGCAUCAUGCAAUGCUCCUCCAUCCUACUAAAUUUCAUCUUUUGCUAAAUCCUGGGAGAAGUUCUGCUUUCCCUGAGGAACUGACAUGCUUCCUCUUUCCCCAAAAUGAAAAUCAUGAAAAGAUUGUGUGUCUCUUUUCUCUUCAGUUGCCAGGGAGCUCAAAGCCAAAUUUGAAACUCAACUUUACUACAUUAACCACUUGCACCUGUAAAGCCUGCAUAUUUGUGUUUUUACUUUCCCUCCCCCUGACUUCUUACUUUAAAUUCCCAGUCUUAAUUUUUAAAAUUUUUAUUUUAUCAUGUGUUCUUGCUAGAGUCAUCUCAAGUCUAUAUGGAAUGAGGUGGAGUGUAAAAUAAAGAAAGGAAUGUAACUGAA